UGGGGAAUAUUGCACAAUGGGCGAAAGCCUGAUGCAGCAACGCCGCGUGAGUGAUGAAGGCCUUCGGGUUGUAAAGCCCUGUCUUUUGGGGACGAUAAUGACGGUACCAAAGGAGGAAGCCACGGCUAACUACGUGCCAGCAGCCGCGGUAAUACGUAGGUGGCAAGCGUUGUCCGGAUUUACUGGGCGUAAAGGAUGCGUAGGCGGAUUUUUAAGUGAGAUGUGAAAACCCUAAGCUUAACUUGGGGACUGCAUUUCAUACUGGAAAUCUAGAGUGCGGGAGAGGAGAAUGGAAUUCCUAGUGUAGCGGUGAAAUGCGUAGAGAUUAGGAAGAACACCAGUGGCGAAGGCGAUUCUCUGGACCGUAACUGACGCUGAGGCAUGAAAGCGUGGGUAGCAAACAGGAUUAGAUACCCUGGUAGUCCACGCCGUAAACGAUGAGUACUAGGUGUAGGAGGUAUCGACCCCUUCUGUGCCGCAGUUAACACAAUAAGUACUCCGCCUGGGAAGUACGAUCGCAAGAUU
Molecule: ribosomal RNA, 525 nt
Filed under: uncultured bacterium
Lineage: Bacteria
Description: partial 16S ribosomal RNA
Rfam family: Bacterial small subunit ribosomal RNA
Source: RNAcentral